AUACGUAGGGAGCGAGCGUUGUCCGGAAUUACUGGGUGUAAAGGGUGCGUCGGCGGGACUGCAAGUCAGAUGUGAAAUGCCGGGGCUCAACCCCCGAGCUGCAUUUGAAACUGUGGUUCUUGCGUGAGGUAGAGGCAAGCGGAAAUCCUUGUGUAGCUGUGCAAUGCGUAGAUAUUAGGAGGAACAUCGGUGGCGAAGGCGGCUUACUGGGCCUUUACUGACGCUGAGGCACGAAAGCGUGGGGAGCAAACAGGAUUAGAUACCCUGGUAGUCCACGCUGUAAACGAUGAUGACUAGGUGUGGGGGGACUGAACCCUUCCGUGCCGCAGUUAACACAAUAAGUCAUCCACCUGGGGAGUACGGCCGCAAGGUUGAAACUCAAAUGAAUUGACGGGG
Molecule: ribosomal RNA, 396 nt
Filed under: uncultured bacterium
Lineage: Bacteria
Description: partial 16S ribosomal RNA
Rfam family: Bacterial small subunit ribosomal RNA
Source: RNAcentral